Molecule: non-coding RNA, 222 nt
Organism: Vicia faba (fava bean)
Lineage: Eukaryota; Viridiplantae; Streptophyta; Magnoliopsida; Fabales; Fabaceae
Source: the annotation of a GenBank genome assembly
AUGGGUACAGCUACCUUCGUCGACAUCCUUCUUGCCAUCGUUCUCCCACCUCUUGGUGUCUUCUCAAGGUUUGGCUUAGAAGAGGAGUUCUGGAUCUUGACUCAUCGUCAUCUUCUACGUAACCAUUCAGUUUACCUUUUGUGGUGCAUCAUGGAUAAUUUUCAGGGGCGUCAUUCAUGUCUUUCAAUUCAGAAUCUAGUUUCUUGUAAAAUUGUUCAGUGA